This 253-nucleotide ribosomal RNA is filed under the name uncultured bacterium. RNAcentral describes it as "partial 16S ribosomal RNA". It matches the Rfam family "Bacterial small subunit ribosomal RNA", at positions 524 to 776 of the family's 1533-position model. The record is from RNAcentral.
UACGUAGGGUGCGAGCGUUGUCCGGAAUCACUGGGCGUAAAGGGCGCGUAGGCGGCUUGAUAAGGUUGCGGUGAAAGCCCGGGGCUCAACCCCGGGUCGGCCGUGGCAACUGUCGAGCUGGAGCACUGUAGAGGCAGGUGGAAUUCCGGGUGUAGCGGUGGAAUGCGUAGAGAUCCGGAAGAACACCGGUGGCGAAGGCGGCCUGCUGGGCAGUGGCUGACGCUGAGGCGCGACAGCGUGGGGAGCAAACAGG